GAGGGUAUAGCUCAAGUGGUAGAGCACAUGCCUAGCAUUCAUAAGGUCCCGGGUUCAAUCCCCAGUACCUCCU
Molecule: transfer RNA, 73 nt
Organism: Camelus ferus (Wild Bactrian camel)
Lineage: Eukaryota; Metazoa; Chordata; Mammalia; Artiodactyla; Camelidae
Rfam family: tRNA
About the family: Transfer RNA (tRNA) molecules are approximately 80 nucleotides in length. Their secondary structure includes four short double-helical elements and three loops (D, anti-codon, and T loops). Further hydrogen bonds mediate the characteristic L-shaped molecular structure. tRNAs have two regions of fundamental functional importance: the anti-codon, which is responsible for specific mRNA codon recognition, and the 3' end, to which the tRNAs corresponding amino acid is attached (by aminoacyl-tRNA synthetases). tRNAs cope with the degeneracy of the genetic code in two manners: having more than one tRNA (with a specific anti-codon) for a particular amino acid; and 'wobble' base-pairing, i.e. permitting non-standard base-pairing at the 3rd anti-codon position.
Source: Rfam